CGGAAAGUUCGUUAAUUUGCAGUGCCUUUUAAAGUGAAUUAUAGGUGUCUAAAUCAUUGCAUUUAGUUAAAUUUAUAAUAAAAGUGAAGAUGGAGAGUCACCCAAUACCAGAGACUAAUAGAUACACAAGAAAGCGGCGAAGAAACACAGAAAACUGGAAGAAGAAUGUGGCCAAAAAAAUGAGGUAUUCAGCUCCAUCUACUGAAACUAAUUACUGUGAAGAGUUAUUGGCUGAUACUAGCGAACUGCGUAUUUGAAAAUACGACUCACAGUUACAAUCGUCUGGUCAUAAGUAAAUUUGUAAUGAGAAAAGUAAUUUAUUACUGUUUCUAAGAAAGUCUAAUUUGAGGCUCAUUUAUGUGACUAAACAUUUUUAUUUUAUUAAAUAAACAAUGAGUAAUAUUUUU
This is a long non-coding RNA of Ostrinia nubilalis (European corn borer), 407 nucleotides long. RefSeq lists it as uncharacterized. The record is from RefSeq and is a predicted model, not a curated record. Lineage: Eukaryota; Metazoa; Arthropoda; Insecta; Lepidoptera; Crambidae. The transcript is spliced from 2 exons.